Long non-coding RNA from Arvicola amphibius (Eurasian water vole), 3335 nucleotides. RefSeq lists it as uncharacterized. The transcript is spliced from 2 exons. NCBI's taxonomy places the organism in Eukaryota, Metazoa, Chordata, Mammalia, Rodentia, Cricetidae. The record is from RefSeq and is a predicted model, not a curated record.
AGAAUUAAUCUGGAAGGAAAGGGGGAAUCUAGGAUGACUCAGGCUUCCUCACCUCAUGGACAGGUCUCAGCCUGUGUUCUGGCAGCUGUGGCUCACUGGUUCCUGUGUCUGUAAACCUGGGAUAACCUGGGCUACCCCCAAGCUCUCGGCAUGGGCGGGUCAGGAUCUACAGGUUUUGUCUCAGCUCUCCAGGCACAAUUCCUACUUACCACAGUCCGAGGUACCACGGAACCUUCCUGCUGCUCUUAGCCCACCGUGUGAUUCAACAACAGUCUCCCAGUGCUUGCAGGGUGCCAGAGCUGCGCAGCACAGGCUCCUUCUGUCUGCUCUUCAGCUGGCCAUACUGGACUAUAAUUUGGUACCAGACCUCUUCGAGGAGGCGCCACCCCUACAACAACCCGGAAACUGAUCUCAUGUUUCCAGAAAAACUCGAAUCAUGUUACUUGCCUUGGGCACUGAAGAUACUUUGGAUCCACUUCUGGGCUGAAUAGACUUUAGUGGGGAAAGAGGCUUUCAGGAACACAGGGCUAAAUCUCCGUGAUCGCCACGAUGCAAGUAUGUAUCUGGAUUCAAGAGCUGACAAUUCUCCUUUGGCCUUGAAGAGUUGGUGCACCAGAGAGGCAGUCUGCACACUCGCCCCGCUCUCGGGACUAUGAAGCUCGUUCCUUGGCCUCUGAAGUUCCCAGAGAACUUCACUGAGGAUGAAGGGAAGGUCACUUAGUCCCAAUCAUCUCCCAGGAAUCUGCGAAGCUGGUCCACCCUUGGACUUUAAGGCUCAGCAGCAGGGACGCUGCCAUAGUCAGGGUCUCCUCCCAGGAGGGUCUUGCAGGUCUCCUGGUAUAUAUAUAGUGAGUUCUAGGCUAGUCUGGAGUACAAAGUGAGAUCCUAUCUCCAGAACUUCCUUUCAGGCCAAAGAUGCCUGGGAUAUGGGGAGUCGCCUGCAGUAAAAAGUACUUAACUCAUGGUGGCGCUCUUCCCAAAGAAGACGCUCUUCCUGCUCCUGCUCUGGGACGCUGGCGUGGGAAGAACUGUUUGUUUCCUUUUGCAUUUUUCUCGGAAAAUGCCUUUAAUGCUACUUUUAUUCCCAGACGAAGAAUAGGCUUUAAGAUUAAAAUAGAGAAGUUACAAGGAAAAAAUCAAGUUACUGAUAGUCCAGCAGGCCAGUAGUGACUCCACCUUCACAGCUCCCUGUAGAGAAUUGGGUAGGUGUUGUGCUGGGACCAACAAGGAGUAGCUUAGAAUCGCAGAUGAGCCUGCAGGAAGAAGGUUGCUAGGAAAGUGUGAUGUGGAUGAUGAAGGAGUUGAACCUUAUUAUAGACAAAGACCAGCUAGCAAGUGAAUGUGGCAUUAUGGUUUUGGAGACCACCGCAAAAGCAAUAUAAACAGCAAAAAGGUGUCCCUUACUUGAGCUGAAAUUAUCCUUCCAAAGCCUUUUGUAAAAGAAUCCCAGAGUGAACACGUAGACAGAGCUGUGGACAGGGUGUGUCUAGGUGUGUUAUAGCCGAGUUCUUAUCCACAUCAGACCUGUAACAGUCAUUCAGCUCUGUUCUGCAGGUUGUGUAGGAAUAGUUUCAGGGACUAGGAGAUGGCUCCGUGGAUAAAGUGUUUGCCAUGCAAAGUGUAAAGGCGGGAGUUUGGAUGCCUAGAACCCACGUAAAAGCCGAGCAAGCGUGCUGACUGACUAAAAUGGGGCCAGCCAGUAUGGCCAAAUUGGUAGGUUCCAAGUUCAAUCAGGCACUCUGCCUUGAUACAUAAAGGUUAAAAAGAUUGAGAAGGCACAUGUCAACUUCAAGCCUCACACGCAUGCACACACGUGCACCUGUGGCAAGCACCUGCAUACACAUGCCAGGUGAGCAUGAUAGCUCACCUGUAAUCCCAGUGAGUGACAGAGAUAGGCUCCCCAGAUUGAGCUAGCUAGUUGUACUCCCCAAACCAGCAAACUCCAGGCUCAAGUGACAGAGUCCGCCUCAACACACAAGACAGUGUUAUGGAAUAAUCUUUUUGUACACUGUGAAGAAGUGACACCCUGAUUGGAAGGAGGCAACCCAGUGGGAGGAAAAGGGUCCCAAUAAACAGUCAGGGAUACCCCACUCCCCCUGUUAGGAGUCCCACAGGAACACCAAGCAACACAACCAUAAUAAACACAGAAGGUUGAGCUCAGGCCCACACAGGCUCCCUGAUUGUUGCUUCAGUCUCCACAAGCCCCUACAAGCCCUGCUUAGUUGAUUCUGUGGGUCACGUUCUUGUGGUGUCCUUGACCCCUCUGGCUCCUACAAUCCUUCCUCCCCCUCUUCCGAGGGAUUCCCCAAGUUCCAUCUAAUGUUUGGCUGUGGGUCUGCAUCUGUUUCCAUCCGUUGCUGGAAGAAGGCUCUCUGAUGAUGACAGGGCUAGGCUCCAGUCUAUGAGCAUAGCAGGGUAUCUGAAGAACACUUUCAAUGCUGCUUUUAGAAAUACUUGGCCUACUUGACUGGGUGUGGUGCUGCACACCUUUAGGUGAAUCUGUGUUUGAGGUCAGCCUGGUCUACACAGUGAGUUCCUGGAUAUCCAGGCUACACAGAGAAACCCAGUCUUAGGCCUCGAACCCACAGAGAUCCACCUGCCUCUGCCUCCCGAGUGCUGAGUUUAAAGGCGUGUGCCCUUACCAUGGCCCAGCACCACGGAUUUUUAAAAAGGCCCACACAGGCUUCCCGUGCACAGUUGGAACCUCUGACUCUUUCUAAUCCGUCCCCCAUCUUUCUAGUUCAGUUUUUUUGCUUCCUUUAGGACUUGGGUAUUUUGCUAAGCUGCUAGCAUGCCAAGAGGAAACCUUUAACGAAACAAUUGUGAAUAGCACAGUUCAUUCCAAGCAGUGGUUGAGUUUAGAACAGCAGCUUCCCUUGAAAAGAUUUCUGCAUCAUGACUUGCAUUUUAAUGACCUCUUGUUUUACAAAAACAACAACCAGGGGCCCCUCUGCUGUGAAAUCUGUGAGUUUUUCAGAUAGUACUCUAAAGACAAUUUUGUAAGCCUCCCUGUUCGUUCUUGGUUUAUUUUUCCUCUCAUUAGACGUUAUUAUGGUUGACUAGUCAAAAGUAAACAAUUUUCAAGUACGACAUAAUAAUAAAGAAGUGCUGCUAGGGUUUUGGAAAGUUUUCUUUUUAAUUUUCUACCUUCUUCAAUUCUUACUCAAUUCAAGGACUUAAGAUUCGAGAGCUAAACACUUGGAUUUCUGCCUAGCACACAUUUUUUUGCUAUUUGCUUAAUUGCUAUAAUCAGCAUUGUACAUAGAAAGAACAUGGCUACCUUCUGUUAAAUAUGCACUUGGUAAAUAUCAAAAAAAUAAAAAGGAAAAAUUGAA